CAGCAGCCGCGGUAAUACGGAGGGUGCAAGCGUUAAUCGGAAUUACUGGGCGUAAAGCGCACGCAGGCGGUCUGACAAGUCAGAUGUGAAAUCCCCGGGCUUAACCUGGGAACUGCAUUUGAAACUGUCAGGCUGGAGUCUUGUAGAGGGGGGUGGAAUUCCAGGUGUAGCGGUGAAAUGCGUAAAGAUCUGGAGGAAUACCGGUGGCGAAGGCGGCCCCCUGGACAAAGACUGACGCUCAGGUGCGAAAGCGUGGGGAGCAAACAGGAUUAGAUACCCCUGUAGUCCCUGUCUCUUAUAA
RNAcentral lists this ribosomal RNA (301 nucleotides) under uncultured bacterium. RNAcentral's name for it is "partial 16S ribosomal RNA". It matches the Rfam family "Bacterial small subunit ribosomal RNA", at positions 509 to 809 of the family's 1533-position model. The record is from RNAcentral.